ACUGAGAGUGCUAAUUAAUUUACAGUGCAAGGGAUGGGUCUCAGUACACAACUACCUGGGCCUGAAGUCAACCAUGCUGCAACGACCUGUAUUUUUCGCCCCAGAGACAGGAUUCAACCAAGAUCACAAGUUAUAUACUCCUUCCUAGGUACAUUCCUGACUCUGUGUCAAGAAAAGAAUACUCAACUGCUCAAAUCUGAUCACAUUUGCUUCCCAACUAAAUGGCAUCUUCUUGUGAGAUAUAGACCCCCUAUUUGGUCUUCAGCAUCAGAUUACUGUAAACCUAACCAAUUUGGAACUCUCAGUAAUAAAGUUGAUGAAAAUUAAUUGCAUAUAUUGAGCAAAAGUUCCCC
This 353-nucleotide long non-coding RNA is filed under the name Mus spicilegus (steppe mouse). RNAcentral's name for it is "lncRNA (ENSMSIG00000003514.1)". Lineage: Eukaryota; Metazoa; Chordata; Mammalia; Rodentia; Muridae. The record is from RNAcentral.